Molecule: ribosomal RNA, 497 nt
Filed under: uncultured bacterium
Lineage: Bacteria
Description: partial 16S ribosomal RNA
Rfam family: Bacterial small subunit ribosomal RNA
Source: RNAcentral
GAUGAACGCUGGCGGCGUGCCUAAUACAUGCAAGUCGAGCGAACAGACGAGGAGCUUGCUCCUCUGACGUUAGCGGCGGACGGGUGAGUAACACGUGGAUAACCUACCUAUAAGACUGGGAUAACUUCGGGAAACCGGAGCUAAUACCGGAUAAUAUAUUGAACCGCAUGGUUCAAUAGUGAAAGACGGUUUUGCUGUCACUUAUAGAUGGAUCCGCGCCGCAUUAGCUAGUUGGUAAGGUAACGGCUUACCAAGGCGACGAUGCGUAGCCGACCUGAGAGGGUGAUAGGCCACACUGGAACUGAGACACGGUCCAGACUCCUACGGGAGGCAGCAGUAGGGAAUCUUCCGCAAUGGGCGGAAGCCUGACGGAGCAACGCCGCGUGAGUGAUGAAGGUCUUCGGAUCGUAAAACUCUGUUAUUAGGGAAGAACAAAUGUGUAAGUAACUAUGCACGUCUUGACGGUACCUAAUCAGAAAGCCACGGCUAACUACGUG